Passer domesticus (house sparrow) is the source of this 400-nucleotide long non-coding RNA. RefSeq lists it as uncharacterized. The record is from RefSeq and is a predicted model, not a curated record. The transcript has 4 exons. NCBI's taxonomy places the organism in Eukaryota, Metazoa, Chordata, Aves, Passeriformes, Passeridae.
GUCUGCUUGAUGUCAAAUAUCUCUGCUUCUCACUGCUCCAAGUUUCCCAUCCUCCUAGCUCACACCACUGAGCCCUGUCUGCCUGAGACAUUAUUGGUGUUCCUGUGAUAAACUCAGCAUUAAUGAUAACAUAACUCAUGGUGGCACCAGGUGCCAGCUGUUCAGGGACCCACGAAAGAUGGGCCAGUAAUAGAUGCCAAGCCCUUGGGAACCUGACAUCCAAGCAGGACAGGUUUAUAAACUAUGUUGCUUCAUUUCACAUCCAGCAACCUUGGGAUAACACUCUCAGACAGUAAGAGAUUUUGAGCAGCAUUGACAGUGAAAAUGGGAUCCAAAACUCUCCAAAAGUCUGCUCAGCAAAGAUUUCACAUUAAAGUAGUUCUACCCAUUAUUAUGAAAA